RNAcentral lists this ribosomal RNA (206 nucleotides) under uncultured bacterium. RNAcentral's name for it is "partial 16S ribosomal RNA". It matches the Rfam family "Bacterial small subunit ribosomal RNA", at positions 568 to 774 of the family's 1533-position model. The record is from RNAcentral.
CUCGUAGGUGGCCAACUAAGUCAGACGUGAAAUCCCUCGGCUUAACCGGGGAACUGCGUCUGAUACUGGAUGGCUUGAGUUUGGGAGAGGGAUGCGGAAUUCCAGGUGUAGCGGUGAAAUGCGUAGAUAUCUGGAGGAACACCGGUGGCGAAGGCGGCAUCCUGGACCAAUACUGACGCUGAGGAGCGAAAGCCAGGGAGCAAACG